GUAAUUAUUUAGCUUUAAGUAGUUGUGUAAUGGGCGGCUCGGUGGCGCACUGGGUAGCACGUCCGCCUCACAGUUAGGAGGGUGCGGGUUCGAUUCCACCUCCGGCCCUCCCUGUGUGGAGUUUGCAUGUUCUCCCCGUGUCCGCGUGGGUUUUCUCCGGGCACUCCGGUUUCCUCCCACAUCCCCAAAAAACAUGCUUGGUAGGCCGAUUGAGCGGUCCAAAUUGCCCCUAGGUGUGAGUGUGUGUGCGGAUGGUUGUUCGUCUCUGUGUGCCCUGCGAUUGGCUGGCAACCAGUUCAGGGUGUCCCCCGCCUACUGCCCGAUGACAGCUGGGAUAGGCUCCGGCAAGCCCGCGACCCCCGUGGGGAUAAAGCGGUACAGAAAAUGGAUGGAUGGAU
This is a long non-coding RNA of Syngnathus acus (greater pipefish), 398 nucleotides long. RefSeq lists it as uncharacterized. The record is from RefSeq and is a predicted model, not a curated record. The transcript is spliced from 2 exons. Lineage: Eukaryota; Metazoa; Chordata; Actinopteri; Syngnathiformes; Syngnathidae.